GAGUGAACGCUGGCGGUAGGCCUAACCCAUGCAAGUCGAACGGCAGCACAGUAAGAGCUUGCUCUUACGGGUGGCGAGUGGCGGACGGGUGAGGAAUACAUCGGAAUCUACUUUUUCGUGGGGGAUAACGUAGGGAAACUUACGCUAAUACCGCAUACGGCCUACGGGUGAAAGCAGGGGAUCUUCGGACCUUGCGCGAUUGAAUGAGCCGAUGUCGGAUUAGCUAGUUGGCGGGGUAAAGGCCCACCAAGGCGACGAUCCGUAGCUGGUCUGAGAGGAUGAUCAGCCACACUGGAACGGAGACACGGUCCAGACUCCUACGGGAGGCAGCAGUGGGGAAUAUUGGACAAUGGGCGCAAGCCUGAUCCAGCCAUACCGCGUGGGUGAAGAAGGCCUUCGGGUUGUAAAGCCCUUUUGUUGGGAAAGAAAAGCAGCAGGUUAAUACCCCGCUGUUCUGACGGUACCCAAAGAAUAAGCACCGGCUAACUUCGUG
Molecule: ribosomal RNA, 493 nt
Filed under: uncultured bacterium
Lineage: Bacteria
Description: partial 16S ribosomal RNA
Rfam family: Bacterial small subunit ribosomal RNA
Source: RNAcentral